UACGUAGGGUCCGAGCGUUGUCCGGAAUUACUGGGCGUAAAGAGCUCGUAGGUGGUUUGUCGCGUUGUCCGUGAAAACUCACAGCUCAACUGUGGGCGUGCGGGCGAUACGGGCAGACUGGAGUACUGCAGGGGAGACUGGAAUUCCUGGUGUAGCGGUGGAAUGCGCAGAUAUCAGGAGGAACACCGGUGGCGAAGGCGGGUCUCUGGGCAGUGACCGACGCUGAGGCACGAAGGUCAGGGGAGCAAACGGG
RNAcentral lists this ribosomal RNA (253 nucleotides) under uncultured bacterium. RNAcentral describes it as "partial 16S ribosomal RNA". It matches the Rfam family "Bacterial small subunit ribosomal RNA", at positions 524 to 776 of the family's 1533-position model. The record is from RNAcentral.